GUUUCCGCGCCCUUCGCCUUCCCUCCGGGGACACAACCCCGCAGGAUCAACGCGAAAACAAACAAAAAACAAACAAAAAAACAAACAAACAAAACAAAACCAAGGCUAGGAAGGCUUUCGGUGGGUCUGUGACGCAGGAAGAUCGCACAGCUCCCGAAGGCAGGCAGGUGUCAGCAGCUGGCGUGGUUUAUGGAAGCUUCCAGGCUGCUGUGGCCAAGUGGAGUUGAGCGCUGCUUUUACUUGCCGGUGCACCGUGUGGUGUGUUCAGUUUUCAAGGAAGAUGUGGUAGCAACCGUGUCUUCAUAACUGUUGAGAAGUGCUACAGAAGUGAGCGCUGUGGUGGGACCAAGUGAUGGCCAUCCUCUUGCUGCGGCUGCCACCACACAGGAUUCACCUCACAGCAGCAGCUCAGAAAGUGCUCCAGUGUUGAUUUUUGCCAUUUAGAAAUGAAGUUCUGAGACAAGCAGAAAUUAACUAAUUUCCUGGACUUGGGGGGGGAAAACCCUGAUUUUUUUGCUGGCAAAUAUCCACUGCGGGAGAAGAUGCCUGGAAUAUUUCUCUGCUGGAAUGUGGAAAUACUGUCUGAUCCUCUGCCAAGGUCCUGUGCCUGACGGAAGCCAGACAAGAAGCAGUCAGCAGCACUUGGCCUGUCCUGGACCUGGUCUGUCCCUGUAGCAGAGCUCUAGGAACUGGGAACUGCAGAGCCAAACUUGGGAAUACUGU
Apus apus (common swift) is the source of this 723-nucleotide long non-coding RNA. RefSeq lists it as uncharacterized. The transcript is spliced from 7 exons. NCBI's taxonomy places the organism in Eukaryota, Metazoa, Chordata, Aves, Apodiformes, Apodidae. The record is from RefSeq and is a predicted model, not a curated record.